UGCAUCAAUUUGCUCACUCACCAACCAUAUAUAAGAGGUAGUCAUAUAACUAUUAAUGGUUUAUAUCUAGUGAAACUGAAGGCUGCAAACGUCAAAAUGGUUCCAACAUUAGUGUCAGUAAAUAAGGGUUGGACAUGAAUCCUUGCUUCCUUCCAGUUUAUUCUGUUGCGCCUCCUAGGAGGAGAAUGACCAGAUUCGCUGACAUUUGGGGCCAGGAGUGGUGGGGAGAACGUCUGAGACACACGCAUAGGGUUUUGUUUUGUUUUGUUUUUUGUUUCAGGAAGCAGUCAGUUGCCCAAAGAACAAUAGUUAGGAAACCAAGCCCUCAGAGGACCGCAUUAACUUGUGCAGUAACAAGUUCAGGGACGCUGGGUGUCUCAGCUGUUCAAUAACAAGAGAGGGGCAGAAAGGAAGGUUGCCAUGGUGAUGGCUUGCCGCACGUGCCGCAUGGGGGUGGGGGCGGAGGUGACUUUCUGCAGAGCUAAAUGAAGCUGUGGAAGUCGCCUCUCCUUGGCCUUGGGAUGCGGCCCAAAUUUGAGGCGUCUCGGCCGCUGCCUGGAGCCGGGCUGGAAGCACACUGGAUCCCUUGGGGAAGGCAGGCUGCCCUUAGCAUACAGAAACCCCCUCCUGGCAGCCAUUUUAUCGCAUCUCUUAUUCUUUGGCUUCUUCCCGGCUCAGGCCUCAGUGAAGCCCAGUUCACUCCAGGGUCUGCGGCGGGAGGCGGGCGCGCCCCACAGUGCGGGCUCGCCACGCGGUCCCUUGGCCUUCCCCAUCUUACUUGCAGCUUCGCGCCGGGAAGGGUUGGUUUUCGUGGUGGUUUGAUGUUGGGAGGGGAAAUGGAAAUUAAAUUCCCGGCAGACUGGGUUGCGAUCUCACAUCUUGAUCCUACUGCGGGUGCGUAAAGAAAACGGAGACGCAGAUGUGAUUCUUGGAGAAAUAAAGAUUUGAAGAGGUAAAGAAUUAACUUACCAAGGUCACAAAGCCGUAGGAAUACAGACCUGCUUUUCUGGUUUAACUACGCUAAGUCAAAAAAAGCGAGAUAUGGAAUUAACUGCAUUGAAAAAUGAAUGAUUCUCAAACUUUUUAUCUCAGCCUCCUUCACACUCUCAAUUAUUGAGGACCCUAAGGGCUUUCGUUUUUGUGAACUGUAUCUAUCACUGUUUAUCAUGCUAAAAUGCAAAAUUUGGAAUAAAAAUACUUAUUAAUUCAUUUUAAAAUAGCAAUAAAACAUUAGAUGAUAACCCAAAUAACUCAUUUUUAUGAAGAAGAAAAUUAAUGAGAAGGGAUACAUAGAUUUCCAUUUUUUGAAAAUUAGUGUGGAGCUUAUAGUUCGAGUCUCAUCUCUGCUUCUGCAUUCAAUCUGUUUUAAUGUGUUGCUUUGAUUAACAUACAUGAAGAAAUCUAGCCACUCAUACCAAAAGAGAGGACCUGGUACCAGAAAGAGUCUUGAGAACUCUCAAUAAGAGGUGUGCUGCUCCACUUGUGGAGAGUGUUUUAAUAACCAGUUCAUCAUUGAAGAGAAAGCCCACUUUGUAGCACUGCCAAUUUCUCUGGUGUAAAUACUCCCAACAUGGCUGGUAAUGCAAAGUUGGGAAAAGACAGGCAGUAGCACAUUAUUCUAUAGUAUUUCUACCAUACAAAUACAACAGCUAGAAAUAACCACAAGAGCCUAACAAGAUUGUAAUAAAAUGUAGUAAAAUGAUUAGGAAAUGAUGGGUUGUGAAUAUUUAUUAUCUUUACGUUAAUAUAAUUUGUUUAAUUGACGUUUU
This 1769-nucleotide long non-coding RNA is filed under the name Homo sapiens (human). RNAcentral's name for it is "HSALNT0172989". The record is from RNAcentral. Lineage: Eukaryota; Metazoa; Chordata; Mammalia; Primates; Hominidae.